Oncorhynchus tshawytscha (Chinook salmon) is the source of this 3963-nucleotide long non-coding RNA. Lineage: Eukaryota; Metazoa; Chordata; Actinopteri; Salmoniformes; Salmonidae. The record is from Ensembl.
GUAUGUGUUCUUGUUCAUAUAGAUUCAGUUUCUCUCCGCCUGAAAUUAUAUACUCUGGCUCGAAUUGAUUCAGUUUCUGUCCACCUAAAGGUAUAUUUUCUUGCUCGAAUUGAUUCAGUUUUUCUCCACCUAAAGGUAUAUUUUCUUGCUCGGAUUGAUUCAUUUUCUCUCUGUCUGAGGGUAUGUGUUCUUGCACAUAUAGAUUCAGUUUCUCUCCGCCUGAAGUUAUGUACUCUGGCUCGGAUUGAUUCAGUUUCUCUCCACCUGAAGGUAUCUUCUCUUGUUCAGAUUGAUUCCGUUUCUCUCCACCUAAAGGUAUAUUCUCUUGCUCGGAUUGAUUCCGUUUCUCUCCGCCUGAAGUUAUGUACUCUGGCUCGGAUUGAUUCCGUUUCUCUCCGCCUGAAGUUAUAUCCUCUUGUUCAGAUUGAUUCAGUUCCUCUCUGUCUGAGGGUAUGUGUUCUUGCACAUAUAGAUUCAGUUUCUCUCCGCCUGAAGUUAUGUACUCUGGCUCGGAUUGAUUCAGUUUCUCUCCACCUGAAGGUAUAUACUCUGACUCGGAUUGAUUCAUUUUCUCUCCGUCUGUUGGUAUGUGUUCUUGUGCAUUUACGUUCUGUUUCUCUCCGCCUGAAGUUAUGUACUCUGGCUCGGAUUGAUUCAGUUUUUCUCCACCUAAAGGUAUAUUCUCUUGUUCAGAUUGAUUCAGUUUCUCUCCGCCUGAAAUUAUAUACUCUGGCUCGAAUUGAUUCAGUUUCUGUCCACCUAAAGGUAUAUUUUCUUGCUCGAAUUGAUUCAGUUUUUCUCCACCUAAAGGUAUAUUUUCUUGCUCGGAUUGAUUCAUUUUCUCUCUGUCUGAGGGUAUAUGUUCUUGCUCACAUAUAUCCAGUGUCUCGCCGCCUGAAGUUAUAUCCUCUUGUUCAGAUUGAUUCAGUUUCUCUCCGCCUGAAAUUAUAUACUCUGGCUCAGAUUGAUUCAGUUUCUCUCCUCCUGAAGGUAUCUUCUCUUGUUCAGAUUGAUUCCGUUUCUCUCCACCUAAAGGUAUAUUCUCUUGCUCGGAUUGAUUCCGUUUCUCUCCGCCUGAAGUUAUGUACUCUGGCUCGGAUUGAUUCAGUUUCUCUCCGUCUGUUGGUAUGUUUUCUUGUGCAUUUACGUUCUGUUUCUCUCCGCCUGAAGGUAUAUGCUCUUGCUCAUAUUGAUUCAGUUUCUCUCCGCCUGAAGGUAUCUUCUCUUGUUCAGAUUGAUUCAUUUUCUCUCCAUCUGAGGGUAUGUUUUCUUGCACAUAUAGAUUCAGUUUCUCUCUGCCUGAGGGUAUAUACUCUUGUUCAGAUUGAUUCAGAUUCUCUCCAUCUGUGGGUAUGUGUUCUUGUGCAUUUAGAUUCAGUUUCUCUCCUCCUGAAGGUAUAUACUCUUGUUCAGAUUGAUUCAGUCUCUCUGAGUGUAUAUACUCUUGCUCAGGUUGAUUCAGUCUCUCUGAGUGUAUAUACUUUUGCUCAGUUUGAUUCAGUCUCUCUGAGUGUAUCUGCUCUACCUCCUCACUGUAUAAUAUGUCUUGUGUCUGGGAAAGUUCAGUGUGAGACUCAAUUUGAAGACUCAGUACUGACUCGCUCUCAAUCAUCUGCCCAGUAAAGUGUUCACUGUAACUGGAUAUAGAUAAAUUCUCUAGCUCUUGCUCCACCAAUCUAUCAAUUCUUUCUUCAUUAUAGUCCUCAUCAGAGCACACCAUGGAGUACUCUCCAGGUUCUGUAAGUUCCUCAUAGGAUUGCUCCUCUUCUGCCUCCUGAAUCAACUGAUCUACAGCAUUCUCCUCAUCGUUCUCCUGUGUAGCAUGCUCCUUUGUUUGGCUAGCAUCCACGUCGCCUUGGUGAGUGGAGCCCAUGUGACGUUCCUGAUCUAUGACAUCUCCUUCUGACUCUUCAUACAGAUCCUCCAUGGUGUCAAACUGUUUGGACUUGCCUUCGCCCCAGGUGUCUGUUCCUGUCUGGCAAACCUCCCUGUCCUCUUCACCAUCACUGGAGUCGCUCUCGCCCAUGUGUGAAGCCAGAGUGUUGACAUCCGUCUCGUCACUCUUGUAACGGAUCAAGGGGUGUGUGUCGGCUAGUGUGUUGUCCUGAGCAUAGCUGUCGCCUUCUAGCUCAGCCCUCCAUGAAACAGAAUUAUUUUGACAGUAGUUUGCCUCAUCAUGAUCCUCUUUGUCAUUGUCGGAUAUAUUCAGUUUAUCUCCGCCUGAAGUUAUGUACUCUGGCUCGGAUUGAUUCAGUUUCUCUCCACCUGAAGGUAUAUACUCUGACUCGGAUUGAUUCAUUUUCUCUCCGUCUGUUGUUAUGUGUUCUUGUGCAUUUACGUUCUGUUUCUCUCCGCCUGAAGUUAUGUACUCUGGCUCGGAUUGAUUCAGUUUCUCUCCGCCUGAAGGUAUAUGUUCUUGCUCAGAUUGAUUCAGUUUCUCUCCGUUUGAAUUGAUAUACCUUUGCUCAGACUGAUUCAGUUUCUCUCUGCCUGAAGGUAUUUGCUCUUGCUCGAAUAGAUUUUGUUUCUCUUCAUUUGAAGGUAUAUACUCUUGAUCAGACCGAUUGGGUUGGGCUUCUCUGUUAUUCCACAUCUCUUCCUCUUUCACAUGAUACUUUGCUUCUUUCCAAUCAUCCAUUCUUUCUCCAAUUCCAUUCUCUUCAUUGUACCCUGCCACUCGAUCCCAUUCAUCCUUUACAUCCCCAUUGGGGUUCAGUGCAUGUUGUUCCUCACGUUUGUUAGACAUAUCAUUUUCAUCAUCCACUUUUGUGAAAUUUAUGUCACCUUCCUCCACUCUUUCAACAUGGUGAAAUACCUCUUCUGACCAGUGAGAAGCUUGAGCAGAUUCAUAUGAGAUAAUCUCCUCUUGGUUGAACUUAUCGAUUCUUUCUGUCAUGUCAUUUUCCUUAAUGAAUCCUCCCAAUCUUUCACAAUCAUCGUUACCAUACCCAUAGGGGUGCAAUUCAUCUUCCAAUUGCUCCUCAUGUUUGUUAGACAUAUCAUUUUCAUCCUCUUUUGGGAGAUGAAUAACAUCUUCCUCCAGUCUUUUAACAUGGCGAAAUGCCUCUUCUGAACCGUGGGAGGCUUGAGUGGAUUCAUAUGACAUAUUGUCCUCUUGGUUGAACUCUAUUGGCUUGUUGUAACUUUUCCCCGCCCCAUACUCAAAAGCUUGACUGCUUGUGAAGGUUUCAAAUGCUUGCUCUAGCACUGAUGCAGUUUCAGAUUCCAAGCCUUCGUUUCUCGCCCAUUCAGCAUCUUUCUUUGCUGUUUCAAGCUCUCUUUCCUCCGAUGCAUUCAUGGGACCGUAAGGCAUAUCUAGUAGAGGUUCCUCUUUUUCAAAAUACAUUUCAAAAGGUACAUCAUUAUCAUCAUUCGCUGAGAAAGCAGAAUGUGCCCCUGUCACCGAACCUGCUCUCUCAUAGCUCACUGAAGGGCUGUAGAGCUCUUGAGCAUCAGUGCUGAACACAGUUGGCAUACUGAAGCUGGUCUCGACCCGGUGACUCAUGGCAGAUUCCAGAACGGGUUUCUCUUCAGCAAACCAGGUUCUGACUAUGUUCUGAUCCUCUUCCUCCUUUUCCAUAUCCCACAUGGAUUGUUCCUUGUGGUCAGAUCCAAGCAAAGAUACAACAUCAGCUCCUGCCUCUUCAGUGGGAGGUGAGAGAGGCUCAGCAUAGUUGACUUCUAUAUGGACAUCUUGGGGUCUGAAGUGGUGGACUGAAAUUCCGUCCUGUGGUACUUUGAGGUAAGGCGUUGAACAACUUACCUGGUGGUUGGACCCUACGCCAAAGUCGAUAUGCUCUUCUGUCUUUCGACAACUCUCAGGUGUUUCAUUCAGGGUUACCCGAUUUUGAGUCCAGAUUGGUGAUGCGGACAUCAUUGUCACAUUGGAUCGUGGACUUGCUCUAUGGAUGGUAGAGAUGGGCCUGAUCAUGUGACUGGUAGCCAGCUGUGUCUGGAAGCUUU